UGCGUAGGCGGAUAGAAAAGUCAGAUGUGAAAGCCCAGGGCUCAACCCUGGAACUGCAUUUGAAACUGCCUAUCUAGAAUCCAACAGAGGCUGAUGGAAUUCCGAGUGUAGAGGUGAAAUUCGCAGAUAUUCGGAGGAACACCAGUGGCGAAGGCGAUCAGCUGGGUUGGUAUUGACGCUGAGGUACGAAAGCGUGGGGAGCAAACA
RNAcentral lists this ribosomal RNA (207 nucleotides) under uncultured bacterium. Its description in RNAcentral is "partial 16S ribosomal RNA". It matches the Rfam family "Bacterial small subunit ribosomal RNA", at positions 568 to 774 of the family's 1533-position model. The record is from RNAcentral.